UACGGAGGGUGCUAGCGUUGUCCGGAAUCAUUGGGCGUAAAGGGCGCGUAGGUGGCGGCUUAAGCGUGCGGUGAAAGCUCGGGGCUCAACCCCGAGUCGGCCGUGCGAACUGAGUCGCUUGAGCACUGUAGAGGCAGGCGGAAUUCCGGGUGUAGCGGUGGAAUGCGUAGAGAUCCGGAAGAACACCGGUGGCGAAGGCGGCCUGCUGGGCAGUAGCUGACACUGAGGCGCGACAGCGUGGGGAGCAAACAGG
Molecule: ribosomal RNA, 253 nt
Filed under: uncultured bacterium
Lineage: Bacteria
Description: partial 16S ribosomal RNA
Rfam family: Bacterial small subunit ribosomal RNA
Source: RNAcentral